Fundulus heteroclitus (mummichog) is the source of this 111-nucleotide long non-coding RNA. RefSeq lists it as uncharacterized. The transcript is spliced from 3 exons. NCBI's taxonomy places the organism in Eukaryota, Metazoa, Chordata, Actinopteri, Cyprinodontiformes, Fundulidae. The record is from RefSeq and is a predicted model, not a curated record.
UACAGGUGUUGUCACGUGUCACGUCGACAGCUUCCGGGUCUCAACAAAGGCUCCAACUCACAUCCUGAUUAAUCUCUUGGGGAUUUCUGGUCUCUUCUUCUGGUUUUUCCU